AUUGAGGAAGUAUUUCAUCUGACAACAGAUAUUACUUUAUUAUUACUGACAGUCAUUGUUUACAUUAAAUAAGAUACAUCGUACAACACAGACAGAACAGAAUGUCAACAACGACUGCAAAUAUUCCAAUUUCCUCCCAAUUUAUACCACAAGUGGUUGGAAUCCAACAAGUUUUACCAGUCGGACGCCAGCAACAAGCAUUUCCAGUGAGGACAUUUAAAGUGUUUGGUGGUAUACAGAUAGGUCUUGGUGUUCUUCUUGGGAUUCUAAGUUUAAUUGGAGUGAUUUUGGAUAUAACUGCAUGGAACAAAUACGACGACUGUCUCGCCAAGAUUGAUUUCGACCGUGACAGUGGCAAUUAUCGUUAUUAUGAUUAUUAUUGGAUGUGUAGUCGAUAUGAUGAUGUCCACAUACUUUUUGGAUUUGACAUAACUUGUCUAAUAUGUUCUGGAUGGUAUGUUGUCACUGGUUUUCUGCCUAUGUGUAUGUCAAGGAAGAGGGAGGCGAGCUGGAUGUGUCUGAAAACUGGAUUUAUGGUGUGUAGCAUAAUAGGAGCGUCAGUUUUUGUUCCAACUAUGUUCAGUCUUGGUGUAGUCGGUUCAGUUAUAAGAGGCAAUCAUGAUUCUAAAGCUGUGACUCUGUCAGCUUUCAUGGCUGUGUUGUCCUUUGCAGAAGUAGUGGUCGCAGUCAUUGCCGCUUCAUUAUGUUGUUGCUGUACCUCAUGGGGGACAUCGGAUCAGCAGGGAGUUGUUUUUAUGAACGCCACACAACCUGGAAUGAUUCUUAACCUAACACAGACUCACAUUCCUAUGACAACCGGUCACCAGGUCAUGAUGGCUACUGGACAAACAGGUAACCCAGUAGUGCAGUAUUAUCCAAGGGCCCAACAGUAUCAAGUCAUGACUACAACUCAACCGACAGUACCACAGAGUCAAGCUAGCGCUGUUGGUGUUACACAACCAGAACCAAACAAUGUACAAGUGUUUGAUACCAAUCCGCCAGCUUACAAAGAAUAAAUGAGAUAUAAUCAUCCUAAGUUAAUAAAAAUGAAAAUCUUAAUAUCAAAAAUGAAAGAACCUAUUCAAUCCCUAAAUAACCAUGGCACUUAUACUUUUUUUUUUUACUAAAAUCAUGAGGAAUACAAACACUCAUUAGCCUUUUAAAAUGGAAAUUAACUUUAACACUAGAAAAUACUAACCCUUCAUAUGAAAAAUUGACAUUUAUCUUAACAUUUCUAGAUAAUGACAAAUAUGAAAUACUAAGAUGGAAACUGCUUCAUUACAAACUUCCAUGUAUUCAACUAUUCAAACAAUGGCAUAUAAUAGAAACAGAUACAGGUUUACAUUAUAAAGAAUUACAGGAUUAUAAACAGUUCUUUCCAAAAUGCUCAUAUUUGGAAUCCUUCUGGUAAGAAGUACAACAAAUUCUUGAGAAAUCAAACAUUGGAAGAUAUACUCAUGAUACAAUUAAUCUGAUAAGUCUUUUGAUAUAAAGUAUAUGUUAAAGAUUAUUAUGAUAUUAAAUUACUUUUAACCAUUAUUAGUUACACUAUAUGAGGUAUACUACAUGUCAGACAAAAUAAAAAUAAAAGAUAUAGUCACUCAAAUAAUUUAGACAGGAAAUCAGAAAUUAUAUAGAGACAAGAAACUUUUAGGAUACCCGAUUGGUAAAAUAUUUAAGAUUGUAAGCUAUUAAGUUAACUAGUUUAAAAUAAAAAUAUGAGGAAAGUGGUGUGAACUUGUAUUACAUAAGGAGAUAAACUUGAUAUUUUGGGAAAAAAUAAUACUUCUUUCAAAUAAAGAUAGUAUUAUAAUUGUAAAUUUUGUACAUCUACUUAUUUUUUGUAUAGGUCUUUGACUGCAUUUUUCUACAACUAUAGUUUUAUUCUUGUUGUGUUAUAGUAAUAGUUUCCGUUUUUGUUGUUGUCAACUAACUAUUCACUGUUUUCAUUGAUAUUCAAGAUAUAAGGUAUAUAACAUGACUAAUCCAUUUGAUUAGAUAUAUUCCAUAGCACUAUCAAGCUAUUUCACAAACAAAACAAAUAUUAAAAAAACAAAUUAUUCAGGUGAAGACAUCAAUUAUAUCCGGAUUAUUGAAAAUGUGCGUACUAACACAACUAAUCAUCAUAUAUGCUCUGUACAAAUGUUAACGAUGCCGGGAUAAGCUACCGUUACUUGAUGUAUCUAUUAACAAAUGUAAAUAUGUUAAUAAAAUUUUGUUUUAAUAAAAAAAAGCUUUUGUUUAGGACUGGUAUAAAAUCAUUAUGAUCAAAAUGAUUAAAAUUUCUAUAAGUUCGAAAAGUUGUUUUCAUCAAUGGGAUUAUAGCUGUUUAUCAUUUUUACUACACAGUAAUAUAAAAAUAAGAAGAUGUGGUAUGAUUGACAAUGAGACAACUCUCCACCAGAGACCAAAUAGCAUAGAAAUUAACAACUAUAGGUCACCGUACGGUCUCCAAAAGUGAGCAAAAUUCCUACCGCAUUUUAAGCUAUAAAUGGCUCAGAAAUGACAAAUGUUAAACAAUUCAAACGAGAAAACUAAUGGCCUGAUUUACGUACAAAACAAUAAACAAAAAAAACAAAUGUAAUAUACAGCAACACACGUGAUUCGUUAUAUUUUGCAAAAAGGGUUUCCCUUUAGUAGCAUACAAUUAUAGACUGUAUGAGGUAGAUACGAGGAUAUAUCGACCUGAGCGAUGUAUAUCGACUGAGGACGAAGUCCGAGGUCAAUAUGCUACUUUUGGUCGAUAUAUCUUCGCAUCGACCGUCUAAGGCUUCAAUUGUGGUAUUAUUAUUUUCCAAACACAUUUCUAUCAAAGUCAGUGCAUUAGUUUCUGUUGUUUUUUGUUCUCCCAAUAGUUUCAUUUUGUAGAUAUAUAGUAUAUUGUCUCUUUUACAUUGACAUCAUAAUUGUUCUUCCAAUUUAUUUUCUCUUUUCUUAUGUAUAUCGACCUACUUUUAAUGCAUUCGAAGAUUCUUUUGUAAGCCAUGAAGGUAUUUUGAAAGAAAUUUCUAAUAAAACUAAACUUUAGAGCCUCAAAAAUUUGACAAUAUUUUGAAAUUACAUGUAUAUAUCCCAAAAUAAUUAAAUCUUUUCCAAUGAACAUGUUGAAAGCAAUAUAAUUAUGUUAUGAAUUCAAUAAAUUCAUUUCUGAAUCUCAAUUCCUUGAUCAUUCACUUCUUUGGAAAAAAGUUGUAAUUAAUAGAUAUAUCUUAACAGUUUUUUGAUACAGGAACUGAACAUUGCCUUGCUGGCAUGGUUUUCUUGUUAAUUCUUGUAUCUAAUGAUUUUGACUGAUAAUAAUGACCGUUUUGGAAUUCUAAGUGAUUUCCUCAAAUCAUUAAAACAAUCAUCAUCUGCCAUUUCAGGUAGAAAAAUGAUUAGAAACUAUUACAAAAUGUGUUAAAGAUAUACUUCUAGGAUCUAGUGACAUAUCAUAGUUUGAGUCUUCAAUCAGUAAUAAGUAUAACACAUAGCUGCGAUGGUGAUGCGACACCAAGGUUGACAAUGUUUUUUCAAGGGGUAACAAUACGCCAGUUCCGGGAUACGGUAGUUCGUUGGAUCUGUCAUGUGACUUCCAUCACCACGUGACUAAAAUGUAGGCAUCGUCACUUCCAACACAUGUUGAGCGAACGGAUGAAAAAGGUUUGAUCUUAUACUGCACAAAAUUAUAGGGAAAUUAUAAUCUAAUAAUUUGGUCACCCUCUCGUCAGUCGUACGGGAAUUAAAAUUAUGUACUUACGGAACAUACAUUAUUUCUAGACUACCCUGCAGAAAGACGAUUCUGAAAGUGCUUGUAACUUUAAAAGAGCAGGGAUAUAGGCGCGCCUUCUAUCUGGUAAAUGAAGUCAUAAAGGCGUGCGAAAUUGACGAUCUUUUUACUGUGAAAGACGUGAUUCGAGAAAUAGCCUAUCUGCUCUCCCACCCUCUCAGCUAUGUGAUAUUUAAUUUAUUAUACUGAAUGUUCUGUCAUUAUUGUCUUUUAAAUUUAAAAUUAAAAGUACUUUACUACGACGUCAUGUACAUGUACUUAACAACGUUAUAGUUAUGAGAAAAAAAAUACAACAAAAGUGAAACAAGAUGAAUUUUUUGUUUUUAUUUUAGCAUUCUAUGAAAAAGCAUUGAGGUCAAAUCGUAAAACUUGAGCAUUGUCUUUCAAUUAUCGAAUUUUGAUUGGUCUGUACGAGAGGGUUACAUUAAAAAAAAUGUAUAACACAUUUUACUUCAUCAUAAAUUAAAUGUCGACAGUGAACUCAUUGUUACAUUGUCAGUCAUAAAUGUACAUGUGAGUCUGUUCUUUCUCGUUAUCAUCAAUAUAUAUCCUAAGCUGAGAGUUCUACUCAUAAUGAUUCAAUUUUUACGCAUUCAAACUAUUUGUUAUCUUUACUUGGUAGAUCUGACAUGAAAUAAUCUGCUCAACCGCCUACGUUUUCAAUUCUGUCAUUCUCCUAAAGAAAAUUGUGCUUCAGGAGUUGGUUUGGUUUCGGCUAUUUCAGGCUUGUCGACAACAUUAUGAUACAUAAACAAAGUAAGACAGCAAUUCACACAAAUAUUGAAUCCAACUUCUCCAACAAAAUAAUGAUUGAUUGAUUGUUAGUUGCUUAACGUCUAGUGGCAGAAAAAAGAUGAACACACAAGGAUAAAUAACAAAGAACAAUACUUGGUCUAGAUAGCAUGAUUAACACACAAUGUGUGUUUUACUCGCGCAGCCAUUAUUUGUUAUAUAUAUCAAUAAAAUAUGUGAGUUACUAUUUCUAUGAUUGAACAACAUUUUUGUAGUUGGAAGUCGACAUAUAAGUAGAAACAAGAUAAUAUGUUUUGAUGAUAUUUUCGUGCUCAUAUCUGUUAAUGGCAAACGUUCUUAAAUGCUCUUGUUUAGAUCGUUUUUUAUUUUCACGCAAGGCUAGUCAGAUUUUAACAUCGAAUGUUAUUGUCACAUUGAAGGGUCGAUAAUCACUGCCUUCACCUCUCAUUUAAAUAUUAAAAAUUAGUCAAAAAAAAUUUAGAAACAUAUACGAGUAUCAAUACGAACUUUCGUCUGAUGAUCAUAAAACGUUCUAAAAUGUUAUAUGUUGCUAUUCAUUUCAUUUGACGUGGUAUCAAAAAUUACUUUCGCCACACUUGAUACCUCCUCGGGCAAAGCCAAAGGGUUCAGAGUGGUAAUAGAAAUAAAAUUAUCUAUGGAAUUUUCAGUCCGAAAGUACAAUCCUUACCAAAGUCGGGUUAACGUUUGGCUGUGCGAGAUGUAUGAAUGCGCAGCCACGUCCGGUCCGAGUGGGGACGUUAAUAUCUCAUAUCUCGUGCAGAGAGAGAGAGAGUGCCAUGCUUUCAGCACGUUAGGAACCCUUGCAAAAGCUUAGUGAGGAGUCCGUAGGUGACCUGUUGCAAGGCAAAAUUUCUGUCCCUAUCCAAUAUAUCCUCAUUUUUCAGUGGCAUUCUAAAAUUCCCGACCUUCAUCCCGGACGGGCUCUUUUACAGGACCUACUUAUUAUAUUUAUCGUUAAAAUGUUUUCGUCCUUAACAUGCAUAAAAUACUUUCCACAAGACUUUAAACAACUACCAAUCAUUCAAUAGCCCAUGUUGCCAAAAAUACUUUCGUAAUCUACAUGUGUACAUGUAAAUACUGUUGAUUUCACCGUGUUACAUUCACUCUCGGUACACAUGAAUGAGAUUUUGGGGUUCCACAGCAGGUGAAAUUCAAGGAAUAAAUGUGAAAAAAUGUUUCAGGAAAGAAUUAUAAAGAAUAAACAACUUACAGGUUAUUGAUGAUGCACUCAAAAAAAUUAUAUACAAGGCUUUCUUUUAUUGAAUUUGCAAGCGAAUCGGUCCAUUUUGUCACAUUAAAAACCUUUAUAAAAAAGUUUUAAUCCUAUAAUCAAAUAACCUGAUAAAUAUAGUUUAGGGAGAUCGACAUGAUUAAUCGAUGAAGGAAGUACUUUAUGUAUUUACAAAUGAUUCUUUAAUUUAUUUCACAACCAUAAUUUUAUCAAUACGAUUCGACAUACAGCUAAGAAAGAAAAGUUGGUGAAACGUAGCUCUUUGUGCAAAAACAGAGUAUAAUGUCAGAUAUUCGUUUGCCAUCUCCAUUUGUACCGCAAAGGGUAGAAAUCCAACAAGCUAUACCAGGCAGAAUCCAGAAACGAGAAUUUCCAGUAAGGACAUUUAAAGUACUUGGAGGAACACAGAUUGGUAUAGGUGUCUUGCUGGGCAUCAUGAGUUUAGUUGGAGUGAUUUGGGAUGUCAAUGCAUAGGAACAAUACGAUGAUUGUUUCAAUAAGGAUUAUUAUGGCUAUUAUUUUAAUACUUAUUAUGGAUAUUAUUAUUCGUUGUGUUAUCGAUAUGAGGAUGGGCACACACUCUUUGCAUUUGACGUUGCUUGUUUAAUAUUUUCUGGUUGGUAUGUUGUUACCGGUUUUCUGCCUGUGUGUAUGUCAAGGCAGAGGAAAUCGAGCUGGAUAUGGCUGAAAACUGCAUUUAUGGUGUGUAGCAUAAUUGGAGGGUCCGUUUUUGUUCCAACUAUGUUUAGUCUUGGCGUAGUCGGUGCAUUCAUACAAGAAAGGCACGAUUCGAAAGCUAUGGUUCUGUCAGCUUUGCUGGCUGCCUUCUCCUUUGCAGAAUUAGUAUUGGCAAUCAUUUCUGCAUCAUUCUGCUGUUGCUGCUCUGCAUGGGAAACAUCAAAUCAGCAGGGAAUUGUUAUUAUGCAACGUACACACGCUGGACUGAUUCCUAACCGUUCGCAGAACCCAAUUUCUAUGACAAAUGAUCAACCCGUCCUGGCAAAUAGUGGACGAACAGCUAACCAAAUAGUGCAGUAUCCAAAAGCGCAACGGUAUCAAGUAAUGACUACGACUUCAUCAACAGAUCAACAGAUUCAAGCUGUUGGUGGUACACAACAAAGGACGGUCAAUACACCAUUGUGUGAUAUCAAUCCACCAUCAUACAAAUAAUAAGAAUAAAGUUAACCGAAGUAAAUGGACGGUUUAAUUCUUAACAUUUGUAAAUCUGUCCAAAUAAAUAUUUUAGAAUGUCAGCAGCUCCUGUAAACAGCCCUGUGUCCCCUCCUUUGGUCAUACAAGGCUUUGGAAAUCAACCUGUUCAAACAGGCGGAAUCCAGCAACAAGAAUUUCCAGUUGGGAGACUAAAAGUGUUUGGCGGCAUACAAAUUGGUCUUGGUGUUGCUCUAGGAAUUCUCAGUUUAGUUGGAGUGAUAGUGGAUGCCAUUGCCAUGGGGAAAUAUAAAGAUUGCUUACAUGGUGGCGGCCUAUACAGUUAUAACGAUCCCGUUUACAAUGAAAAUGUUAUGGUUUCAAGUUACCGGUUUUGCAGUAGAUAUAGUCAUGUGCUAUUAGGCUUUGACAUAACAUGUUUAAUAUGCUCUGGAUGGUACAUUUUAACCGGUUUGCUGCCUUUCUGUAUGACAAGACAGAGAGAAUCCAACUGGAGAUGUCUGAAAAUUAGUUUCAUGGUGUGUAGCAUAAUUGGAGCAUCAGUUUUUAUUCCCACUAUGUUCGGUCUUGCAGUUAUUGGAGCAGCAUUACGAGACCUUCAUGAACCUAAAGUUGUGGUUACCUCAGCUUUGCUGGCUGUUCUUUCUUUUGCUGAGUUUGUAGUGGCAGUUAUUGCCGCUUCAUUCUGCUGCUGCUGCUCUGCAUGGGGAACAUCAAAUCAACCGGGUGUAAUUUUUGUUAAUGGAACACAACCUGGGCUGAUUCUUAACCUACAACAGACGCAGUUACCCAUGGCAAAUGCCCAACCUGUAGUGAUGACUAAUGGACAAACAACGACGAUAGUUCAAAAUCAUAGAGCGCAUCAGUAUCAAGUGAUGAAUACAAAUGAACCGACUGGACAACAAAUUCAAACUGUUGGUGGACCACAUGUAUUAAUUAACAGUACACAACCAGAUUUUUCUACCAAUCCACCUCCUUACAAACAGUAAAGGAAAUAGAUAUUGUAAAAUGAAUGCGUCUGUAUACUUAAACGAAAUGACGGCCAACAAACUUUAGAUAACGUUUGUAAAACUUUCGAAGCAAUGAUACCUUUUACCACUUUGAGCCCCUUAUUGUGUACCGUGGAUGAAUGCGUUGUGUAUAGAUCGUGUUUAUUCAACGUCUAGCCAUUGCUAUAAAUAAAACGUCAUAAUACAUAAGUUUCAGGUAGCUACGUUAACAUAUAUGAAAUCGCGCUAACUUCGGGCCGACAAAAGUCAAAAUAUAAAAAUAUCAAUUACUUUAAAUGCCAAUCGAAUAGAUAUUACUGAAAAUAAAAUAAUCGAUUGGCCUUUUAAAACAAAUUAAAAUAAUUCUCUUAUUAA
Mytilus californianus (California mussel) is the source of this 8308-nucleotide RNA transcript. RefSeq lists it as uncharacterized. NCBI's taxonomy places the organism in Eukaryota, Metazoa, Mollusca, Bivalvia, Mytilida, Mytilidae. The transcript is spliced from 16 exons. The record is from RefSeq and is a predicted model, not a curated record.